UUAGUUUUCAUUAAUUUCUGCCCUGAUUUU
Molecule: non-coding RNA, 30 nt
Filed under: Mus musculus (house mouse)
Lineage: Eukaryota; Metazoa; Chordata; Mammalia; Rodentia; Muridae
Source: RNAcentral